AUUGAACGCUGGCGGCAUGCCUAACACAUGCAAGUCGAACGGCAGCACAGUAUGUAGCAAUACAUAUGGGUGGCGAGUGGCGGACGGGUGCGUAAUAUGUAGGGAUCUGCCCUGAAGCGGGGGACAACCCGGGGAAACCCGGGCUAAUACCGCAUAAUACUCUACGGAGGAAAUCUGGCACGCAAGUGCUGGGGCUUUAGGAUGAACCUACAUCCGAUUAGCUAGUUGGUGAGGUAAUAGCUCACCAAGGCAAUGAUCGGUAGCUGGUCUGAGAGGAUGACCAGCCACACUGGGACUGAGACACGGCCCAGACUCCUACGGGAGGCAGCAGUGGGGAAUAUUGGACAAUGGGGGAAACCCUGCUCCAGCAAUGCCGCGUGGGUGAAGAAGGCCUUCGGGUUGUAAAGCCCUUUAGGCGGGGAAGAAGGUUAUAGGGUGAUAAGCCUUAUAGCUAGACGGUACCCGCAGAAUAAGCACCGGCUAACUCUGUGCCAGCAGCCGCAGUAA
This 507-nucleotide ribosomal RNA is filed under the name uncultured bacterium. Its description in RNAcentral is "partial 16S ribosomal RNA". It matches the Rfam family "Bacterial small subunit ribosomal RNA", at positions 30 to 523 of the family's 1533-position model. The record is from RNAcentral.